RNAcentral lists this ribosomal RNA (39 nucleotides) under Inocybe pseudoasterospora. RNAcentral's name for it is "partial 18S ribosomal RNA". Lineage: Eukaryota; Fungi; Basidiomycota; Agaricomycetes; Agaricales; Inocybaceae. The record is from RNAcentral. RNAcentral also lists the same sequence under 1 other name.
UACCAGGUUUCCGUAGGUGAACCUGCGGAGGGAUCAUUA